GAUGAACGCUGGCGGCGUGCCUAAUACAUGCAAGUCGAGCGAACAGACGAGGAGCUUGCUCCUCUGACGUUAGCGGCGGACGGGUGAGUAACACGUGGAUAACCUACCUAUAAGACUGGGAUAACUUCGGGAAACCGGAGCUAAUACCGGAUAAUAUAUUGAACCGCAUGGUUCAAUAGUGAAAGACGGUUUUGCUGUCACUUAUAGAUGGAUCCGCGCCGCAUUAGCUAGUUGGUAAGGUAACGGCUUACCGAGGCAACGAUGCGUAGCCGACCUGAGAGGGUGAUCGGCCACACUGGAACUGAGACACGGUCCAGACUCCUACGGGAGGCAGCAGUAGGGAAUCUUCCGCAAUGGGCGAAAGCCUGACGGAGCAACGCCGCGUGAGUGAUGAAGGUCUUCGGAUCGUAAAACUCUGUUAUUAGGGAAGAACAAAUGUGUAAGUAACUAUGCACGUCUUGACGGUACCUGAUCAGAAAGCCACGGCUAACUACGUG
RNAcentral lists this ribosomal RNA (497 nucleotides) under uncultured bacterium. Its description in RNAcentral is "partial 16S ribosomal RNA". It matches the Rfam family "Bacterial small subunit ribosomal RNA", at positions 28 to 507 of the family's 1533-position model. The record is from RNAcentral.